Molecule: ribosomal RNA, 429 nt
Filed under: Fusobacteriota bacterium
Lineage: Bacteria; Fusobacteriati; Fusobacteriota
Description: Fusobacteria bacterium partial 16S ribosomal RNA
Rfam family: Bacterial small subunit ribosomal RNA
Source: RNAcentral
UGGGGAAUAUUGCGCAAUGGGCGAAAGCCUGACGCAGCGACGCCGCGUGAGGGAUGAAGGUUUUCGGAUCGUAAACCUCUGUCUGAAGGGAAGAAACCGCACUGUUCUAAUCAGCAGUGCCUUGACGGUACCUUCAAAGGAAGCACCGGCUAACUCCGUGCCAGCAGCCGCGGUAAUACGGAGGGUGCAAGCGUUAAUCGGAAUUACUGGGCGUAAAGCGCACGUAGGCUGCUUUGUAAGUCAGGGGUGAAAUCCCACGGCUCAACCGUGGGACUGCCUUUGAUACUGGUUAGCUUGAAUCCGGGAGAGGGUGGCGGGAUUCCAGGUGGAGGAGUGAAAUCCGGAGAUAUCUGGGGGAACAUCAGUGGCGAAGGCGGCCACCUGGACCGGUAUUGACGCUGAGGUGCGAAAGCGUGGGGAGGAAACAGG